AACAACGUUCUUGUGUGUGACCCAAUAGGCUCAUAUUAAUUGGCAAUAGGCCCAGUCCAACAAGGCCUAUAAAUCAUAAGUGGCCUCUAGCAAGACAUUAUGACUACCCAACUAAUAUGAGGAUCAAUAGUCCGAUAAAGCCUAUUAAAUAGAACAUGUAUUAAUCCCUUUGUCUCACGAUAUCUAGUUUGAACAUAAGUCAUGGUCAAUGUCAAACUUAUAAUGUUCAAACUUAUGAUUUCUCGAUCUCUAAGUAGACUGAUAAAUUCAAAUGAUAUUGAUCACACUAUCAAUUCAUUUGAGCACGGCCAUGCAUUUCUCAGUCUCACUCAUCGAGGGGCCCAGAAGAUAUCUCUCUCAUAGAGAGGGACAAAUCCUAUCUUGAUUGUUCAUUAUCAUCUACAUAAUUUCUAUUAUGCUUAAUCAUAACCUUUAUGAUUGUCCGAUUAAAGACAACGUUUGAUUAUGUCAAAACAUAACAGUCCUUAUGUUGGAAACUAUGACAAUCUCAAGUCAAAGGAUUAAGACAUAACUACUUUGAGAUUCACUUAUGACAAUGACCCAUGUAGUGAUCUCAAUGCGGGUCCAUCCAAUACUUUGUUCUCUAAC
This 609-nucleotide long non-coding RNA is filed under the name Manihot esculenta (cassava). RNAcentral describes it as "long non-coding RNA (MESC_LNC009301)". The record is from RNAcentral. Lineage: Eukaryota; Viridiplantae; Streptophyta; Magnoliopsida; Malpighiales; Euphorbiaceae.